GUUGCGCGCGUUUCCUUUGCUAACUGGUUACACUGUCGGGACUGCCACUGAGCGCACACAAUAACUCAAGAGUCACCUAUUUCUAAAUUCUUAUGCGCACAGUUAGCAAAGUUAUCACUAACCUUUCCAACGAGUCAAAAUUGUCCUAGGCUGCCGUGGGUAUAGCAAGCUAGUUAUUCACUUCCGCCACAACUGCGCAGGCGCGUCGGAGUCGAUUAAUCUGACAGAAGUUUUCAUGACGGUGUUGUGGGCACCGCUGGAGAUUUGCUCAGCUAUCUGUUGCAUCAAAUUCCAGAUUGGUGAGCAGGAGUCUGGGUGAAGGCAGAGAC
This is a long non-coding RNA of Anguilla rostrata (American eel), 329 nucleotides long. RefSeq lists it as uncharacterized. NCBI's taxonomy places the organism in Eukaryota, Metazoa, Chordata, Actinopteri, Anguilliformes, Anguillidae. The transcript has 4 exons. The record is from RefSeq and is a predicted model, not a curated record.